CAAGAAGUCUUUCCCACUUCUCCCAGAUGUUAGUUUCACUCCUUCUACAUUCACUUUGUUUUCAUUUUGUAUAUAGACUGUAUUUACUUAUCUAUGAACAUGUUAUAUCUCCAUUACCCUUCCCCAUUCCCAGUAGAAUGUAAGUCUUCUCUUUUGUAUUUUAAUCCCAGGGGCAUAGUAUGUAGUCUCUGGCACAGAAUAUGUACUUAAUAAAUGCUCGUUUGAUUUAUAUAAGACAUUUCAGCAGUGGCCAGGAGCUGUCCACAGUUGGAACUCAUAGAAGAGAGAAAGAGAAGGCUGAGUCAGAUUGAAAUAUUAUGACUCAAAAGACUGUGUCCUAUCCCAUCUAGGCUGGAAGCACUAUCACCUGAUCAACUAUGACAGACUUUAUUCAGUAAUGCAGUGAUCCAAGACAAUUUCAAUAGACUUGUGAUGGAAAAUGCCAUCCUCAUCUAGAGAAAGAACUAUGGAGACUGAAUGCUAAUAGAAACAUACCAUUUUCACUUUUUUCCUUUUUUCUUUCUCAUGGUUUUUCUUCUUUUGUUCUACUUUGUUGUUUUGUUCAGUCACAAUAUGAUUAAUAUGGAAAUAUGUUUAAAAUGAUUGUACAUUUGUAACCUAAGACAAAUUGGUUGCUAUCUUAGGGAGGGGGAAGAAGGAGAGGGAAGGAAAAAAAUUUAGAACUCAAAAAUCUUACAAAAAUUGAUUUUGAAAAUUAUCUUUACAUGUAAUUGGAAAAAAUAAAGUACUAUUAAGUGU
This is a long non-coding RNA of Sarcophilus harrisii (Tasmanian devil), 759 nucleotides long. RefSeq lists it as uncharacterized. The record is from RefSeq and is a predicted model, not a curated record. NCBI's taxonomy places the organism in Eukaryota, Metazoa, Chordata, Mammalia, Dasyuromorphia, Dasyuridae. The transcript has 2 exons.